GUCUUCUGCCCCUGUCGGGGAUCGAACACUGGUCGUCCAUUCCGUGGAAAAUGGGGAGACGAAUCUUUAGUCAGUGUGUUUUAUCGGAGACGUAAGACCGUGAGUUCUCAAUUCACGCUACUUUCGAGAAACACGUCGUAAACGAGGAGAUUAUCUUCCAUGAGAUGGUUUAACUCCAAGCUGAUAAAGACCUACAGUAAAAUGUUUAUAAAGCUACACAGUGCAUCUUCCACGGCAAUUUGGUAUUCUCCAGCGAUCAUCUGUAUCACUAGGUUCCAUCGAAUGCGUUUACAAAGUUUCAGAAACUCGUCAAGGAUUGACGGAAUCA
Molecule: non-coding RNA, 328 nt
Organism: Zootermopsis nevadensis
Lineage: Eukaryota; Metazoa; Arthropoda; Insecta; Blattodea; Termopsidae
Source: RefSeq, a predicted model, not a curated record